CCAAACUUGCGUUUAGAUUUUGAUUGAAGUUGAACAAGUCGUCUACCGCGACUACGCUGCACUCCCAUUUGAGUAAAAAGAGUUGAGGGUCUCCUACUGCACCCUCAAACCCAAAGCUCCACCAUGACAACAACACCAACAAAGUUAAAGCUACGAGGUUGAAUUGCACCAUUUUCUUGGGAUUCUCAAAUUAACUCGAUCUGUAUAUAUCUAAGUUUCAAAAGAAGGAUUGAUACUGGCCUCAG
Molecule: long non-coding RNA, 245 nt
Filed under: Glycine max (soybean)
Lineage: Eukaryota; Viridiplantae; Streptophyta; Magnoliopsida; Fabales; Fabaceae
Description: long non-coding RNA (GMAX_LNC004046)
Source: RNAcentral